GAUGAACGCUGGCGGCGUGCUUAACACAUGCAAGUCGAACGGAAAGGCCCAAGCUUGCUUGGGUACUCGAGUGGCGAACGGGUGAGUAACACGUGGGUGAUCUGCCCUGCACUUCGGGAUAAGCCUGGGAAACUGGGUCUAAUACCGGAUAGGACGAUGGUUUGGAUGCCAUUGUGGAAAGUUUUUUCGGUGUGGGAUGAGCUCGCGGCCUAUCAGCUUGUUGGUGGGGUAAUGGCCUACCAAGGCGUCGACGGGUAGCCGGCCUGAGAGGGUGUACGGCCACAUUGGGACUGAGAUACGGCCCAGACUCCUACGGGAGGCAGCAGUGGGGAAUAUUGCACAAUGGGCGCAAGCCUGAUGCAGCGACGCCGCGUGGGGGAUGACGGCCUUCGGGUUGUAAGCUCCUUUCGCUAGGGACGAAGCGUUUUUGUGACGGUACCUGGAGAAGAAGCACCGGCUAACUACGUG
This 468-nucleotide ribosomal RNA is filed under the name uncultured bacterium. RNAcentral's name for it is "partial 16S ribosomal RNA". It matches the Rfam family "Bacterial small subunit ribosomal RNA", at positions 28 to 507 of the family's 1533-position model. The record is from RNAcentral.